GACGAACGCUGGCGGCGUGCCUAAUACAUGCAAGUCGAACGCUGAAGCGAGGAGCUUGCUCUUCUUGGAUGAGUUGCGAACGGGUGAGUAACGCGUAGGUAACCUGCCUGGUAGCGGGGGAUAACUAUUGGAAACGAUAGCUAAUACCGCAUAAAAUUGAUUAUUGCAUGAUAAUUAAUUGAAAGAUGCAACUGCAUCACUACCAGAUGGACCUGCGUUGUAUUAGCUAGUUGGGGAGGUAACGGCUCACCAAGGCGACGAGACAUGGCCGGCCUGGGAGGGUGGGCGGCCACCCUGGGACUGGGACACGGCCCCGGCUCCUACGGGAGGCCACAGGAGGGAAUCUUCGGCAAUUGGGGGAACCCUGACCGGGGGACGCCGCGGGAGUGAAGGAGGUUUUCGGAUCGUUAAGCUCCGUUGUAUGGGAAAGACGGGUGUGAGAGUGGAAAGUUCACGUUGUGACGGUAUCUGACCAGAAAGCGACGGCUAACUACGUG
This 497-nucleotide ribosomal RNA is filed under the name uncultured bacterium. RNAcentral's name for it is "partial 16S ribosomal RNA". It matches the Rfam family "Bacterial small subunit ribosomal RNA", at positions 28 to 507 of the family's 1533-position model. The record is from RNAcentral.